UCAUUAGCCUUGAAAAUUCAGCAUAGCACAAACUCUUCCCAUAUACUUGGUCAAUUAAUAACCGACAGCAAUGCUCACUGUGGUCUAGUACAGGCUUCCACAGGUACGCUCUGUUUGCUUUUUCGAUAACACCAAUUAGCCUCACCUAUGAAUACAACCUGGAAAACAUUUGCUUGAGGAUUGUGUGACAAAUUCCAAUAUUAACAUUUUCAGGGGGGUGGCAGACAGCCGGGGGUGGGACCUUACUGUUUUACCUCAGGCAGGUCACCCCUGUUGAGAGGCAUACUGCCUCCAACGGCGAAGGGAAAACUUAAAGCCAUCAUGGCUUGUAGCUAUUGACAACCUUGUCCAUGAAUUUCUGCCUAAUUCCCUUCUAAAGCCAUCCAGGUUUGUGGCCAUUGCUGCAUCUUGUGGGAUCCGAUUCCACAGUUUAACUGUGUGCUGGGUGGGCUUCCUUUUGUCUGUCCUUUCAGCUUCAUUGCGAUAGCCCCAGCUUUUAGAAGUAUGAUGAGAGAGUCUGCCCGAUUUUAUCUAGGCCACACAUUGGCAAAGCUCUCGAGAGCUGCUUCCUCCCUGAUCCAUGAAUGGAGCCAGUUUGGUCUUCCUUCUGCCAUGACGCUUUUCCAGGGAGGUGUUUCUCUGUGUGGAACUGAGGGAAUCUCCUCCCUAAUCUGUUCGAAUAAAUGUAGCACCUUUAGAUAACUACAGUACUCAAAACACAAGUUUUUCCUCUCUUUUUUUAUGGCCCCUAAGUAUUAAGAAAGAGAUGGUGCAAACAAUCACUUAUGGAUUAAAUGACUAAAAUGGUGCCAUGGGUUAUUUAUUAAUCCCGGAACUGUAAAAGCAUAAAACCUGGAUAUUAAGAGACACCUGCCUUAUUAGACAACAACGUCCCUGCGUUCUAAGGAGAAAUGGGCAACUUUCAUGAUUUCCUGGUUGACUUAUUGACGCAGUUUCAGUCAAUAUUAUUCAUCUAGUUCAAUGCCUCUCAUUAUGAUGUGUGAGUAUGGAUGCAUGGGAUGUGUGAUUCAUCUAUUACAAGGACUCCAGAGAACAGAUCAGAGGAGAAAUUCAGUUCAUAUUUAAAGCCAACUAUUCGGCGCCACCACGAUUUUGAUGCCGAGCGAGAUGCCAAAAAGGUCCAUAAAGCUUGCAAAGGGAUGGGGACGGAUGAAAAAGUCAUUAUUGAGAUCUUGUCCAACCGUUCAUCAGACCAGAGACAGCAAAUGAAGCAGAAGUACCAAGCCAUAUAUGGCAAGGAUCUGGGAGAAGUGCUGAAAGGAGAGCUGAGUGGGGAUUUCGAAAAGACUGCCCUGGCCCUGCUGGACCAGCCAUGCGACUAUGAGGCCAGGCAGCUUCGGAAGGCAAUAAAAGGGGUGGGGACAGACGAGACGGUCCUGAUUGAGAUCCUGUGCACACGGGUCAACCAGCAAAUUUUAGCCAUAAAAUCUGCCUACCAAAGGAUCUUUGACAGGGAUCUGGAAUCUGACGUCAAAAGCGAUACUAGCGGGUCAGUGAGGAAGAUACUCCUCUCUGUGUUGAAGGCUAGCAGAGAUCAAGGAAUGGAGACUAAUGAAAACCUGGCUCAGAAAGAUGCCAAGGAUCUCUAUGAAGCAGGAGAAGGCCGUUGGGGAACUGACGAGCUGGCUUUCAAUGAUGUCUUGGCGAAGAGAAGCUACAUGCAGUUGAGGGCUACCUUUGAAGCCUACAAACAUCUGACUGGCAAAGAUAUUGAAGAUGCCAUUAAGAGCGAAACUUCUGGAGACCUUGAGAAGGCCUAUCUAACGCUUGAUGUGCCAGGGACUGCCAAGCCUAUUUUGCCACUCGCCUGUAUGAGUCCAUGAAGGGCGCAGGAACCGACGAGGAGACCUUGAUUCGCAUCCUGGUGACGAGGGCUGAGAUUGACCUUCAGACAAUCAAGGAGAGGUUUCAGCAGAUGUACAGCAGGUCUCUGGCCGAAGCCAUCCGAUCCGAGACUUCGGGAGAUUUCAGGAAGCUGCUGCUCUCCCUGCUGCACUGAGACCUUGUUGAAAAGAGGGGUGUCGAAAUGAAUGGCACGCUUAUAUACAUGAAGAAGUAGUAUUGAAAUAGCUCUAGCAGAUUACUACUUCAGUUGUAGGUGGUUGUUGUUUUUUAAUGAAGGCAACGAGCAGAAUUAUUUGCAAGGUUGGCCCUACCAUUGGGCAGAGUCAAGAGGCAGCCUCGGGCGGCUGAUACAGAGUGUCAUUAAACAGCAACAAAAUGUUAGUAAUUGGAUAUAUUGUUGUUGUGUUUUUAAUUUCCAAGAACAGGCACAUGGGAUUUUCCGCCUCAGCUUUGCCAGAAAAUCUGCUCUUUUCCUCGGAGGGGAGGCAAAGCAGCAAUUGCUCCUCUCUCUCAAGAAGCACAAUGUUGUGGACUGACGCCGCUUACCACACUUAGCAGUUCUUGAAAUAGGAGCUAGGCCUCCCCACAGAGCCAGAGGGACAGUAGCCAGCAUAGACUCAGCUUUCCCUCUGAACCUAUCCCAUGAGGUGACUAGAUCUGGCCAGGAACCAGAGGGCCUAUUCUUGGGUUGACUCUCACUUCUAGGAGCCCAUGGGAUGGAGCGUUUAGGUUCAAGUCCUACCUCUGUUAUAACUCGCUGUGUUACCACAUGUCAAACACUCCAUGCAUUUAAAGCACAAUGAUACCACUUUAAAUCAUCAUGGCUUCCCCAAAGGAAUUAUGGGAGCUAUUUUUCAUUAAGGAUGCUGAGAGUUGUUAGGAGACCCCUAUUCCCUCCCCAGAGCUACUUUUCCCUGAGUGGUUUAGCAAUCAGUCCCUUUGCACAGGAAAGCUAGCGCAAUGAUCCCCAUGUCUGAACGCACCCUUUGUAUUAGUGAAUCCCACAAGUUAAUUGAGCAGAAUAUACAGUAUUCCCUAAUGGCUCCCCUGAACCUAUUGCAACUCACCGCCUCUCACCCUCGGCCUUGUAAAAUGUGGGGCACAGUGACCCCCAUUAAUGCAAAACUAAAGGCAGAUUAGAAGGCAUUUGCAAAUCAGCAUGGCAAUUCCUUUCCACGUUCACCUGGUAAAGGUAAAGGGCCCCUGACCAUCAGGUCCAGUCAUGUCCAACUCUGGGGUUGCGGCGCUCAUCUCGCUCUAUAGGCCGAGGGAGCCGACGUUUGUCCGCAGACAGCUUCCGGGUCAUGUGGCCAGCAUGACAAAGCUGGUUCUGGCGAACCAGAGCAGCGCACGGAAACGCCGUUUACCUUCCCGCCGGAGCGGUCCCUAUUUAUCUACUUGCACUUUGAUGUGCUUUCAAACCGCUAGGUGGGCAGGAGCUGGGACCGAGCAACAGGAGCUCACCCCGUUGCAGGGAUUCGAACCACCGACCUUCUGAUAAGCAAGCCCUAGACUCUGUGAUUUAACCCACAGCGCCACCUGGUAAGGAGCCCUUCUGACCCUAGUGGAACUUGCUUUCAAGUAAACAUUCAUGUAACGGAAUUGCAUAAGCAAUAAGUUGCCCUAAGGGGUCAGUGGGGCGAAGCAUCUAUUUUUCCGCUCUAUUCUCGCACCGUAAAGUGUGUCAUGGGCAGCUGUAAUGUUGGACAUAAGAAAAUGUUGCAAGAUGAACUGUCUUUCAGGGCAGAACUUGAACAUCUCAAAAAGCAAAACGAAAAACAAGUGUUGCUGCCAAACGAAAAACAAAACCAAGAAACCCACCAGCGUCUUAAGUUUCUUACUUCUCCUCCAAACCAGCUUGGAUAACUUAACCCGUGUGCCCUCCUGGCUUCCUUAUGCUAUGUCAUAUUUCCCUGCCCUACAUCUUUGGCAUACACUGGCGGUGGUGGCUGAAGCACGUAGCAUAAUGGCUUACUUAAAGGCACAAGGUCCCUAGCAAGAUAUUAUUUUGCCCAACGUGGGGCUUGAACCCACAACCCUGAGAUUAAGUGUCUCAUGUCAUUUUAGUCAUGACCUCUGUUAAGGGUCAAGCCAGAUGUGCACUGGGACAUCUCUGGUAAGGAUCCCUUAUGGUUUUCAAAAUUGUGUGUUUGUUUAUUUCAGGGGUAUACAGUACUUGAAACUUUAAUGCAGGGUUGCCCAAACUUUUUCCAAAGAGGGCCAGAUUUGAUGAAGUGAACAUGUGUGAGGGCCGACCAAGGUUGUUGAGCUUUUUUAAGGAGCUUUCCCCCCCAAUUUUACCCCAAAGUUGUUGAGCUUUUAGGAGUUAGGAUUUUACCCCAGGACAUAUACUCCCACGGGGCCUGGAUUAAAUCUAUCGGCGGGCCGGAUUAGGCCCCUGAAACAGACUUUGGACAUGUCUGCUUUAAUGUAUGUGUGUACAUAAAAAUGUACACAUGUUCUGCCACAGUCUUAUGGGAAGAUUAACCUACGCAACUCGUGUUUGGUUCUGGUCCAAACUGGACUCCUGUAAAACUGCUAUUAUUUUGAUUUCGAUUUUGAUUACCACCAUCAUCAUCUUAAACCCAGGAGUGUCUGACACCGUGGAUUGCUUACAUCUGGUUUGAUGUUUACAUUUGAGGAGUGUCCAUAAGAGAAGUUGGUCUCCUGGCCUGAAGAGAAGCCCGAGAAUGCAGAUAUAUUACUGAGCUUGGCUUUAGGUGGAUAAGUAGUGGUCGCCUUAGAUUCCAGGAAAGGAGGAGUCCAAUGCAUGAGACGUGCAUAGCCCUUAAACCUCCAGUUGUACCGAUUGUCCUGUAAUAGGAGCACAAUGAAGCGGAUCUAUAAAUAACCACUCAAGUGUCCAGACGUUCAUACUAGGAUCGACUGUUGUUCUGAGCCCAGCAAUGCCUUUCACGGGGAGGGGGGGCACCGUCACAGAUACUAGCAAAGUCAAGAUCUCAUGAGACGGAAGUACAACCAGAUUGCAACAUAAGCAGAAGUGAAACUAAGUUCAAAAAUUAGGCACAACAGCUGAAAAUCUAAAAAUAAUGGAGCAGGGCCUCAGGGAAUUAAUAUGAGAAGCAAGAAAGCUAAGGGUCCAUUUCUCUGAGUUGUAUUAGCAAGGGAGCCACAAUUCAAACAGAAAUAUAUUAAAUGUUAUUAAUUUAGUUCUACUCAAAGUUCUUGGAGCUAAGCCCAAGCACAAAUCUUGACACAAUUGCAGUUAUUUGUGGUUAUUAAGGGACCAAUUAUUGCAAUAUACUUGGGCUGUGGACUGCUAUUCCAGUUGGCCAAUUACAUGCAUCAAAAAGAGGAAAGGAAAGAAAUAAAAGCAACGCAAAAGCAAAAAAAAGAGAGAACAACAGAUUGUACAGAUUUGCAUGGAAUUUGCAUAUGCGAAUUAAAAAUUCGUUUGUUUAUAUCCAAAUUUAGAAGCAGUGUCUAUAAUUUAAAUAAAAACACACUGGUGUGCGUACCCCAAUCUCUGAGUGGUGAGAGACUCCAGCGGUUCCAACACUUACUCAGGGUUUGGUUUCCUUGGAAUGAAGGUCAAUGGAGACUGUGGUGUCUUUAGGAUAUAUGGUUUUAUUUACACACAUAUGCAACCUGAGCAUAGGGUGGAAGGGCUCACAGCAUUAGCACUCCAGGAGACCAUGCUUCCCCGUUAGGUUUCUAGGGAGAGUCCCCCAAGUCAUAGCAUUGGAUACCAGUACAAAGAGUAAGAAGCCUUUCUGCCUUUCCAGCUCCCAGUCAACAUGCAGACCAGCCCUGGCUAUUGUUCUCCUACUUACAUGAUCAUGUUGCCUUCAUUCAGGUGAUGUGGUGGGGGGAAAUGCCCACCCCCAUGGACAUUAUCCCUUAGUUGUUUCCAGUGCUGUUUUUCUAGUACAGUGGUACCUCGGGUUACAGACGCUUCAGGUUACAGAUGCUUCAGGUUACAGACUCCGCUAACCCAGAAAUAGUACCUCGGGUUAAGAACUUUGCUUCAGGAUGAGAACAGAAAUCGUGCUCCGGCAGCGCGGCGGCGGCGGGAGGCCCCAUUAGCUAAAGUGGUGCUUCAGGUUAAGAACA
This is a non-coding RNA of Zootoca vivipara (common lizard), 5940 nucleotides long. The record is from RefSeq and is a predicted model, not a curated record. Lineage: Eukaryota; Metazoa; Chordata; Lepidosauria; Squamata; Lacertidae.